RNAcentral lists this ribosomal RNA (460 nucleotides) under uncultured bacterium. RNAcentral's name for it is "partial 16S ribosomal RNA". It matches the Rfam family "Bacterial small subunit ribosomal RNA", at positions 338 to 795 of the family's 1533-position model. The record is from RNAcentral.
CCUACGGGAGGCUGCAGUGAGGAAUAUUGGUCAAUGGACGAGAGUCUGAACCAGCCAAGUAGCGUGAAGGAUGACUGCCCUAUGGGUUGUAAACUUCUUUUAUAAAGGAAUAAAACGAGGCACGUGUGCCUUUUUGCAUGUACUUUAUGAAUAAGGAUCGGCUAACUCCGUGCCAGCAGCCGCGGUAAUACGGAGGAUCCGAGCGUUAUCCGGAUUUAUUGGGUUUAAAGGGAGCGUAGAUGGGUUGUUAAGUCAGUUGUGAAAGUUUGCGGCUCAACCGUAAAAUUGCAAUUGAUACUGGCAGUCUUGAGUACAGUGGAGGUAGGCGGAAUUCGUGGUGUAGCCGUGAAAUGCUUAGGUAUCACGAAGAACCCCGAUUGCGAAGGCAGCUUACUAAACUGUGACUGACAUUGAUGCUCGAAAGUGUGGGUAUCAAACAGGAUUAGAUACCCCAGUAGUC